CCUACGGGAGGCAGCAGUGAGGAAUAUUGGUCAAUGGGCGCGAGCCUGAACCAGCCAAGUCGCGUGAGGGAAGACGGUCCUAUGGAUUGUAAACCUCUUUUGUCGGGGAGCAAAAGACGCCACGCGUGGCGUUCCGAGAGUACCCGAAGAAAAAGCAUCGGCUAACUCCGGGCCAGCAGCCGCGGUAAUACGGAGGAUGCGAGCGUUAUCCGGAUUUAUUGGGUUUAAAGGGUGCGCAGGCGGAAGAUCAAGUCAGCGGUAAAAUUGAGAGGCUCAACCUCUUCGAGCCGUUGAAACUGGUUGUCUUGAGUGAGCGAGAAGUAUGCGGAAUGCGUGGUGUAGCGGUGAAAUGCAUAGAUAUCACGCAGAACCCCGAUUGCGAAGGCAGCAUGCCGGCUUCCGACUGACGCUGAAGCACGAAAGCGUGGGGAUCGAACAGGAUUAGAUACCCGAGUAGUC
RNAcentral lists this ribosomal RNA (459 nucleotides) under uncultured bacterium. RNAcentral's name for it is "partial 16S ribosomal RNA". It matches the Rfam family "Bacterial small subunit ribosomal RNA", at positions 338 to 795 of the family's 1533-position model. The record is from RNAcentral.